CGAAAGCCUGACGGAGCAAGACCGCGUGGGGGAGGAAGGCUCUAGGGUUGUAAACCCCUUUUCUUUGGGAAGAACAAAAUGACGGUACCAAAGGAAUCAGCCUCGGCUAACUCCGUGCCAGCAGCCGCGGUAAUACGGAGGAGGCAAGCGUUAUCCGGAAUGAUUGGGCGUAAAGCGUCCGCAGGUGGCAAUGUAAGUCUGCUGUCAAAACCCAGGGCUCAACUCUGGUCAGGCAGUGGAAACUGAAUAGCUAGAGUGCCGUAGGGGUAGAGGGAAUUCCCGGUGUAGCGGUGAAAUGCGUAGAGAUCGGGAAGAACAUCGGUGGCGAAAGCGCUUUGCUAGACCGAAACUGACACUCAGGGACGAAAGCUAGGGGAGCG
RNAcentral lists this ribosomal RNA (380 nucleotides) under uncultured cyanobacterium. RNAcentral describes it as "bacterial SSU rRNA". It matches the Rfam family "Bacterial small subunit ribosomal RNA", at positions 376 to 770 of the family's 1533-position model. Lineage: Bacteria; Bacillati; Cyanobacteriota. The record is from RNAcentral.